AUAGGGUCAAGUGAAUAAGUGCAUCAGGCGGAUGCCUUGGCGAUGAUAGGCGACGAAGGACGUGUAAGCCUGCGAAAAGCGCGGGGGAGCUGGCAAUAAAGCUAUGAUUCCGCGAUGUCCGAAUGGGGAAACCCACUGCAUUCUGUGCAGUAUCCUAAGUUGAAUACAUAGGCUUAGAGAAGCGAACCCGGAGAACUGAACCAUCUAAGUACCCGGAGGAAAAGAAAUCAACCGAGAUUCCGCAAGUAGUGGCGAGCGAACGCGGAGGAGCCUGUACGUAAUAACUGUCGAGAUAGAAGAACAAGCUGGGAAGCUUGACCAUAGCGGGUGACAGUCCCGUAUUCGAAAUCUCAACAGCGGUACUAAGCGUACGAAAAGUAGGGCGGGACACGUGAAAUCCUGUCUGAAUAUGGGGGGACCAUCCUCCAAGGCUAAAUACUCAUCAUCGACCGAUAGUGAACCAGUACCGUGAGGGAAAGGCGAAAAGAACCCCGGGAGGGGAGUGAAACAGAACCUGAAACCUGAUGCAUACAAACAGUGGGAGCGCCCUAGUGGUGUGACUGCGUACCUUUUGUAUAAUGGGUCAACGACUUACAUUCAGUAGCGAGCUUAACCGGAUAGGGGAGGCGUAGGGAAACCGAGUCUUAAUAGGGCGAUGAGUUGCUGGGUGUAGACCCGAAACCGAGUGAUCUAUCCAUGGCCAGGUUGAAGGUGCCGUAACAGGUACUGGAGGACCGAACCCACGCAUGUUGCAAAAUGCGGGGAUGAGCUGUGGGUAGGGGUGAAAGGCUAAACAAACUCGGAGAUAGCUGGUUCUCCCCGAAAACUAUUUAGGUAGUGCCUCGAGCAAGACACUGAUGGGGGUAAAGCACUGUUAUGGCUAGGGGGUUAUUGCAACUUACCAACCCAUGGCAAACUCAGAAUACCAUCAAGUGGUUCCUCGGGAGACAGACAGCGGGUGCUAACGUCCGUUGUCAAGAGGGAAACAACCCAGACCGCCGGCUAAGGUCCCAAAUGAUAGAUUAAGUGGUAAACGAAGUGGGAAGGCACAGACAGCCAGGAUGUUGGCUUAGAAGCAGCCAUCAUUUAAAGAAAGCGUAAUAGCUCACUGGUCGAGUCGUCCUGCGCGGAAGAUGUAACGGGGCUCAAAUCUAUAACCGAAGCUGCGGAUGCCGGUUUACCGGCAUGGUAGGGGAGCGUUCUGUAGGCUGAUGAAGGUGCAUUGUAAAGUGUGCUGGAGGUAUCAGAAGUGCGAAUGUUGACAUGAGUAGCGAUAAAGCGGGUGAAAAGCCCGCUCGCCGAAAGCCCAAGGUUUCCUACGCAACGUUCAUCGGCGUAGGGUAAGUCGGCCCCUAAGGCGAGGCAGAAAUGCGUAGUCGAUGGGAAACAGGUUAAUAUUCCUGUACUUGAUUCAAAUGCGAUGUGGGGACGGAGAAGGUUAGGUUGGCAAGCUGUUGGAAUAGCUUGUUUAAGCCGGUAGGUGGAAGACUUAGGCAAAUCCGGGUUUUCUUAACACCGAGAAGUGAUGACGAGUGUCUACGGACACGAAGCAACCGAUACCACGCUUCCAGGAAAAGCCACUAAGCUUCAGUUUGAAUCGAACCGUACCGCAAACCGACACAGGUGGGCAGGAUGAGAAUUCUAAGGCGCUUGAGAGAACUCGGGAGAAGGAACUCGGCAAAUUGAUACCGUAACUUCGGGAGAAGGUAUGCCCUCUAAGGUUAAGGACUUGCUCCGUAAGCCCCGGAGGGUCGCAGAGAAUAGGUGGCUGCGACUGUUUAUUAAAAACACAGCACUCUGCCAACACGAAAGUGGACGUAUAGGGUGUGACGCCUGCCCGGUGCCGGAAGGUUAAUUGAAGAUGUGCAAGCAUCGGAUCGAAGCCCCGGUAAACGGCGGCCGUAACUAUAACGGUCCUAAGGUAGCGAAAUUCCUUGUCGGGUAAGUUCCGACCCGCACGAAUGGCGUAACGAUGGCCACACUGUCUCCUCCCGAGACUCAGCGAAGUUGAAGUGGUUGUGAAGAUGCAAUCUACCCGCUGCUAGACGGAAAGACCCCGUGAACCUUUACUGUAGCUUUGCAUUGGACUUUGAAGUCACUUGUGUAGGAUAGGUGGGAGGCUUGGAAGCAGAGACGCCAGUCUCUGUGGAGUCGUCCUUGAAAUACCACCCUGGUGUCUUUGAGGUUCUAACCCAGACCCGUCAUCCGGGUCGGGGACCGUGCAUGGUAGGCAGUUUGACUGGGGCGGUCUCCUCCCAAAGCGUAACGGAGGAGUUCGAAGGUUACCUAGGUCCGGUCGGAAAUCGGACUGAUAGUGCAAUGGCAAAAGGUAGCUUAACUGCGAGACCGACAAGUCGGGCAGGUGCGAAAGCAGGACAUAGUGAUCCGGUGGUUCUGUAUGGAAGGGCCAUCGCUCAACGGAUAAAAGGUACUCCGGGGAUAACAGGCUGAUUCCGCCCAAGAGUUCAUAUCGACGGCGGAGUUUGGCACCUCGAUGUCGGCUCAUCACAUCCUGGGGCUGUAGUCGGUCCCAAGGGUAUGGCUGUUCGCCAUUUAAAGUGGUACGUGAGCUGGGUUUAAAACGUCGUGAGACAGUUUGGUCUCUAUCUGCAGUGGGCGUUGGAAGUUUGACGGGGGCUGCUCCUAGUACGAGAGGACCGGAGUGGACGAACCUCUGGUGUACCGGUUGUAACGCCAGUUGCAUAGCCGGGUAGCUAAGUUCGGAAGAGAUAAGCGCUGAAAGCAUCUAAGCGCGAAACUCGCCUGAAGAUGAGACUUCCCUUGCGGUUUAACCGCACUAAAGGGUCGUUCGAGACCAGGACGUUGAUAGGUGGGGUGUGGAAGCGCGGUAACGCGUGAAGCUAACCCAUACUAAUUGCCCGUGAGGCUUGACUCUAU
Molecule: ribosomal RNA, 2898 nt
Filed under: Neisseria gonorrhoeae
Lineage: Bacteria; Pseudomonadati; Pseudomonadota; Betaproteobacteria; Neisseriales; Neisseriaceae
Also listed under: 1 other name
Description: bacterial LSU rRNA
Rfam family: Bacterial large subunit ribosomal RNA
Source: RNAcentral